ACUGUCACCCGCUCCUCCUUUAUUCUGUUGAUUUAACUUUGAGCAGCGCAUUCAUUCACAGUCAGCAGCGAUUAGUGGAGAGAUGACAAAAGCAACCAUUAACGAGAGGGAUUCAUUACAAUGACGGUCAUCAACGGAGGAGACGUACAUGGACACUAGAUCAGUUUGAACUGAGCAGGACUCUAAGCAGGUUCUGAGUCUUAGAGGGAAGCGAGGAGGAAGGAUUUCCAUUCAGUAACAGCUCAAACAUCGUGAGGUCGUCAAUACAGGAGCAACGGACGGAGAAGAUCGGCAAAAGUCCGUCUUAACAAGAGAUUUCAGCUAACAGAGAAAGUGGGGUUACACUACCAGGUCUCCUAAUACUAGACAGCUAAUUGUCUGGCUGGAAACCUCCUAGCCUCGGACAAGCCGGGGAAUAGAUUCCUGACAUGAGCGACUAGCACCUUCGACAAACAACGACGCACCGGCGGAUAAAGCGCACUGAUCCCCUAAGAGCGACCACCUGUUUCCAGCGCAGACCGAAAGGUGGUGUGAAGUUUGAGAA
Molecule: long non-coding RNA, 544 nt
Organism: Puntigrus tetrazona (Sumatra barb)
Lineage: Eukaryota; Metazoa; Chordata; Actinopteri; Cypriniformes; Cyprinidae
Exons: 3
Source: RefSeq, a predicted model, not a curated record